This is a non-coding RNA of Xyrichtys novacula (pearly razorfish), 90 nucleotides long. NCBI's taxonomy places the organism in Eukaryota, Metazoa, Chordata, Actinopteri, Labriformes, Labridae. The record is from the annotation of a GenBank genome assembly.
GGGAUGUAGCAGGGAAUCCUGAGCAACAGCCUGAUGAGGAGACUCCCCAUACCUCAUCAGGCUGUUGCUCAGGAUUCCCUGCUACAUCUG